UCCGCCCCUUAUAGAAUCGAUUAUUGAUGGGAAGAUAUUAUUUAACUAUCCAAAAUAUUAUUUAAUUAUUUUCAGAAUUAUUUUCUUUCAAUGUUUAUUCAAAUAGAACUUAAACCCAUCUCAGAAUUUUUAAAUGCUUGAUGACGUCACAUUUAAAACGUGGCAACAUUGGUUUCCCCACUUUGACAGCCAAUGCUUAGUAGAGGGGUACGAAGGAUUCAGCUGUGAACGUGAGCCUUGGAUUGCCAUUGUUUCUCGAGUGUUCGGUCUGAAUCGUAGUGUGCGGGGUCAUUAGACUCAAUUAUUCACCUCUAAUUCUCAGUUCCAAAUUGAUUAAAUAUUACAAUAAAAGUAUAGUGAAGUUAUCCAGCAGCAGUGGAUUUGAAGAAUUUUAGAGCAUACUAUAUCCAAUGAGUUCUACCCCGCACCUACCAUGAAAUCUUAAAGCCACCCUACAACAACACCAAGGCCAGACCACACAGAGAGAAACAAUCAAUAGGCGACCAGCCUGGAUUAUUUCCACAUUUUCUUUUUUUUGAGUACCUCCAGCUGCUUUCCAACAGUUUUGAGUACCUUCAGCUGCUUUCUACCAGUCUUCCUCUCCUGUACCUCCAGCAGGACAGCUGCUAGCGAGAGUUAGCACCCUUGGGUGCUCAUUACAUCAACUUCAAGAUUAGGAAAGAGUGGUUUGUUUGGGAACAUUUACUGUGCUCUUAUUAAAGACAGACUGGUUUUGUGAUAUUUAGUACAUUUUUUUUUAUAGUUCAAUUGCACACACAUUUUUCCUGCUUUAUAUUUUUUAUAGGUUUUUUUUCUUUACAACAUAAUAUUUAAUUGAUAGCGUUCCCCAACACUCUGCAAUCUAUAAAGGUAUAAAUUUCUGAGCUCAGAUAUUUUCCCUGAUAAUAGUAGUCGGUACUCUUAUCUUGAUUAUUUUUAGGCUGUGUUCCACUUUUGUAUAAUUAUUUAAACUCAUUCCAUUAUUUUAGUAUAUGUUUAAUUAAAUUUUUAAAAAUUAACUUCACAUAUUAGUCAAAAUUGUAAUUAUUAACUUUAUUUAACUUGAACUUAUUAACUUUACUUAACUUUAACUUAUUAACUUUAUUUAACUUUAACUUUAAUUUAUUAAAUUCAUAUGAACUUCUGGAUUCUAAUCCCUCAGAUUAGUUUUUGGUUUCACUUGUUAUUAUUACUAUUAUAAACCACGAGUUAGGAAAAGGAUCUGUGUAUCCACUCGUAGGUUUAUUUAUUCAAUAAGGCUUGUGCCUGUCCCACUCACAGUGAGGUAUUUAUAUGUUAUAUAUAGUAUCAGGUAGUAUUUAAUUAAGGUGUACGUAUUAUAAACGUACAAUUAUUAUUUGGUGAGGGUUCUACUAACCUAGUUGUAAGUUGUACUUCCUGUAUUAGAGGUACCCGUAGUCAGUUUUUCUAACCUUAUAAAGAGUAUUCUUAGAUCAUAGUUGUAUGAUGAUUUUGUAAUUGACUUUCACUAGUAUCACUUUUUCCUGUCAUGUUAGAGUUACACACUAGUUACUUGUCCUAACUCAGAGGUUGUUAAAAAGAUCUAGUAGUUACAUUCAAUAAAUAUACAUUUAUUGUGA
This is a long non-coding RNA of Diabrotica virgifera virgifera (western corn rootworm), 1601 nucleotides long. RefSeq lists it as uncharacterized. The record is from RefSeq and is a predicted model, not a curated record. The transcript is spliced from 2 exons. NCBI's taxonomy places the organism in Eukaryota, Metazoa, Arthropoda, Insecta, Coleoptera, Chrysomelidae.